RNAcentral lists this ribosomal RNA (467 nucleotides) under uncultured bacterium. RNAcentral describes it as "partial 16S ribosomal RNA". It matches the Rfam family "Bacterial small subunit ribosomal RNA", at positions 28 to 506 of the family's 1533-position model. The record is from RNAcentral.
GACGAACGCUGGCGGCGUGCUUAACACAUGCAAGUCGAACGGAAAGGCCCUGCUUUUGUGGGGUGCUCGAGUGGCGAACGGGUGAGUAACACGUGAGUAACCUGCCCUUGACUUUGGGAUAACUUCAGGAAACUGGGGCUAAUACCGGAUAGGAGCUCCUGCUGCAUGGUGGGGGGUGGAAAGUUUCGGCGGUUGGGGAUGGACUCGCGGCUUAUCAGCUUGUUGGUGGGGUAGUGGCUUACCAAGGCUUUGACGGGUAGCCGGCCUGAGAGGGUGACCGGCCACAUUGGGACUGAGAUACGGCCCAGACUCCUACGGGAGGCAGCAGUGGGGAAUAUUGCACAAUGGGCGGAAGCCUGAUGCAGCAACGCCGCGUGCGGGAUGACGGCCUUCGGGUUGUAAACCGCUUUCGCCUGUGACGAAGCGUGAGUGACGGUAAUGGGUAAAGAAGCACCGGCUAACUACGU